AGUGAACGCUGGCGGUAGGCCUAACACAUGCAAGUCGAACGGCAGCACAGUAAGAGCUUGCUCUUACGGGUGGCGAGUGGCGGACGGGUGAGGAAUACAUCGGAAUCUACUUUUUCGUGGGGGAUAACGUAGGGAAACUUACGCUAAUACCGCAUACGACCCACGGGUGAAAGCAGGGGAUCUUCGGACCUUGCGCGAUUGAAUGAGCCGAUGUCGGAUUAGCUAGUUGGCGGGGUAAAGGCCCACCAAGGCGACGAUCCGUAGCUGGUCUGAGAGGAUGAUCAGCCACACUGGAACUGAGACACGGUCCAGACCCCUACGGGAGGCAGCAGUGGGGAAUAUUGGACAAUGGGCGCAAGCCUGAUCCAGCCAUACCGCGUGGGUGAAGAAGGCCUUCGGGUUGUAAAGCCCUUUUGUUGGGAAAGAAAAGCAGCAGGUUAAUACCCCGCUGUUCUGACGGUACCCAAAGAAUAAGCACCGGCUAACUUCGUG
This 492-nucleotide ribosomal RNA is filed under the name uncultured bacterium. RNAcentral describes it as "partial 16S ribosomal RNA". It matches the Rfam family "Bacterial small subunit ribosomal RNA", at positions 29 to 507 of the family's 1533-position model. The record is from RNAcentral.